This 1520-nucleotide long non-coding RNA is filed under the name Ananas comosus (pineapple). Its description in RNAcentral is "long non-coding RNA (ACOM_LNC000353)". The record is from RNAcentral. Lineage: Eukaryota; Viridiplantae; Streptophyta; Magnoliopsida; Poales; Bromeliaceae.
UUUUAAAAAAAAUUAAAUUUAAAAAUUUUAAUUUUAAUAAUUUAUAAUUUCAAAUUAAAGUUUAUAAUUUAAAAUUCUAAAAUCUAAAUUUUAAAUUUUAAUUUGUUAUUUUAUAUUUUUCAAAUUUUAUAUUUUUAAAUUUAAAUUUAUUCUUAAAUUUAAAAUUUAACAUUUAACAUUUGAGAGUUUAAUUUUAAAUUUUAAUUUCAUAUUUUAAAAUUUAAAAAUAAAAAUUAAAAAUUUAAAUUCAAAUUUAAUGAGAGGGAUAAUAUCAUUUUUCUAUUUAUAACUACUCACUAAAAAUUUAAAUUCAAAUUUAAUGAGAGGGAUAAUGUCAUUUUUCUAUUUAUAACUACUCACUAUUUUUUUUAUUCCUCUUAUAUAUAUAAACGCUAUUUUUCUUACUCCUGGAACAAUCAAAUUUUUAUUCAAACGCAAAAUUGGUCUUGUUCUUAUUCUUGUUUAUACCUGAAUUUAUAUCUAUCCCUAAAGUAAGCAGUUAUUAUUUAUAUCCGAACCAAACGAAGCCUGAGGUUUUGGACAAAUUGUAACAAAUAUUGAACUAAACUUGUAAUAGUUCUUUUGAGAUUUAUAGUUGUAACGGAAUAGUAUUUUUAUAUGGCAAUACUUUAAUUCGUUUGAAUUUUUUUGUUUAUUUAUAUGAAUUGAUAGAUGUUGGUUGUCGCUUCGUAUGUUUGAAGGAGCCUUAUGCAUAUGGCGGGUCUUGACACGCUAUCAGAGGUGCUUCCGCUUGAACCUGCAAAGUGACAUUUCUAUCAUUUAAAACUUUGUAACUUGCACUUACACUUCACUAAACGGACAAUAUGCUCUUAAUAUAUGUUCAUUAAAAAUGUUAAGAAAAUAUAAAAGAUAGAUAGGUUUUUUUUUUAAGAAAGAAAAUAAUUAUGAAAUAUUAAAAAAAAAGGAAAAAAAAAUGCGUCGGCUAGGCCAUAUUUGUGCCCUAAGUAGACCUUAUCUACGUACCACGGGCAUUUCUAUAAGCCUCGCAUCUCGGUGUCGGAUACGUGUCCGAUGCAGACACUCCUCGGACGCCCGUUUAAUGCCAACACAUAGCGCAUACAAGUAAAAAAAACAUAUACAUAUUUUUAUUUUACUUUUUCUAUACAUAUAUAAUGUACGAUGAUAAAUAUUUAGCUUUCUGAUGAAUGCAAAUAAUUUUUUUUGACAAUAUAAAUAAAUUAUGUAUGGUGGAGAAUUUUUUUAAAACAAAAUAUAUGAACUAUCAAUGAAAAAAAUUACUAACAUUCAUUCGUAUGACAAAUAUAACAAUAUUUUAUCAAAAUUAAUAUUUUAUAUACAAUAAAAAUAUAUUAUUAUAUUAAUAAUAUUAUAUUUUAUUCGUGGUGUUCAUAUCGUGGCAGUGUUUUAAUUUUUUGAAAGUUGCCAAGUUGCGGUAUCCGAGUCGUGUCGUGUUUCGUGUAUUUUGUCAGUGUCCGUGAUGCCUAGAAACUUAUAAGGGGCUGUUCGGUUCGUAGGUAAAGUAUGAAUACAAUUAUUUU